AGGGUGAGUAAUGCAUUGAUAACCUACCUUUGAGAUGGGAACAACAACGUUCCAAGUAAUUGGGGCUACCGAAAGGGUUGCUAAUUCUCAAUAAAAAUGCUGACACUUUGGUGUCGGCAGUCAAAGAAAUGGAUCUGAAAAGGUCCAUUUGCUCAGAGAGGGGUCAAUGUCCUAUCAGCUAGUUGGUAGGGUAAUGGCCUACCAAGGCGAGGACGGGUAGCCGGCCUGAGAGGGUGGUCGGCCACACUGGGACUGAGACACUGCCCAGACUCCUACGGGAGGCUGCAGUCGAGAAUCUUUCGCAAUGCCCGAAAGGGUGACGAGGCGACGCCGCGUGUGGGAUGAAGGCCUUCGGGUUGUAAACCACUGUCGGGAGUUAAGAAUUGUAGGAAUGCUAAUAGUAUUUCUACUUGACUAAGGCUCCGGAGGAAGCCACGGCUAACUCUGUGCCAGCAGCCGCGGUAAUACAGAGGCGGCAAGCGUUGUUCGGAAUUAUUGGGCGUAAAGAGCAUGUAGGCGGCUAUGUAAGUCGGUUGUGAAAGCCUUCCGCUUAACGGAAGAAUGGCGGUCGAAACUGCAUGGCUUGAGUGCGGGAGGGGAGAGUGGAACUUCUGGUGGAGCGGUGAAAUGCGUAGAUAUCAGAAGGAACGUCGGCGGCGAAAGCGACUCUCUAGACCGUAACUGACGCUGAGUGUGCGAA
RNAcentral lists this ribosomal RNA (700 nucleotides) under uncultured bacterium. RNAcentral describes it as "bacterial SSU rRNA". It matches the Rfam family "Bacterial small subunit ribosomal RNA", at positions 103 to 757 of the family's 1533-position model. The record is from RNAcentral.